GAAAGCGUGGGUAGCGANCAGGAUUAGAUACCCUGGUAGUCCACGCCGUAAACGAUGAGUGCUAGGUGUUAGGCCCUUUCCGGGGCUUAGUGCCGGAGCUAACGCAAUAAGCACUCCGCCUGGGGAGUACGACCGCAAGGUUGAAACUCAAAGGAAUUGACGGGGGCCCGCACAAGCGGUGGAGCAUGUGGUUUAAUUCGAAGCAACGCGAAGAACCUUACCAGGUCUUGACAUCCCGAUGCUAUUCUUAGAGAUAGGAAGUUACUUCGGUACAUCGGAGACAGGUGGUGCAUGGUUGUCGUCAGCUCGUGUCGUGAGAUGUUGGGUUAAGUCNNGCAACGAGCGCAACCCUUAUUGUUAGUUGCCAUCAUUAAGUUGGGCACUCUAGCGAGACUGCCGGUAAUAAACCGGAGGAAGGUGGGGAUGACGUCAAAUCAUCAUGCCCCUUAUGACCUGGGCUACACACGUGCUACAAUGGUCGGUACAACGAGUUGCGAGCCGGUGACGGCAAGCUAAUCUCUGAAAGCCGAUCUCAGUUCGGAUUGGAGGCUGCAACUCGCCUCCAUGAAGUCGGAAUCGCUAGUAAUCGCGGAUCAGCACGCCGCGGUGAAUACGUUCCCGGGCCUUG
Molecule: ribosomal RNA, 628 nt
Filed under: uncultured bacterium
Lineage: Bacteria
Description: bacterial SSU rRNA
Rfam family: Bacterial small subunit ribosomal RNA
Source: RNAcentral